ACCUGGGUGGCUCAGUCGGUUGAGCAUCCGACUUCGGCUCGGGUCAUGAUCUCACUGUUUGUGGGUUUGAGUCCCGCAUCAGGCU
This 85-nucleotide transfer RNA is filed under the name Felis catus (domestic cat). It matches the Rfam family "tRNA". Rfam says of the family: Transfer RNA (tRNA) molecules are approximately 80 nucleotides in length. Their secondary structure includes four short double-helical elements and three loops (D, anti-codon, and T loops). The record is from Rfam by way of RNAcentral. Lineage: Eukaryota; Metazoa; Chordata; Mammalia; Carnivora; Felidae.